Molecule: ribosomal RNA, 497 nt
Filed under: uncultured bacterium
Lineage: Bacteria
Description: partial 16S ribosomal RNA
Rfam family: Bacterial small subunit ribosomal RNA
Source: RNAcentral
GAUGAACGCUGGCGGCGUGCCUAAUACAUGCAAGUCGAGCGAACGGACGAGAAGCUUGCUUCUCUGAUGUUAGCGGCGGACGGGUGAGUAACACGUGGAUAACCUACCUAUAAGACUGGGAUAACUUCGGGAAACCGGAGCUAAUACCGGAUAAUAUUUUGAACCGCAUGGUUCAAAAGUGAAAGACGGUCUUGCUGUCACUUAUAGAUGGAUCCGCGCUGCAUUAGCUAGUUGGUAAGGUAACGGCUUAACAAGGCAACGAUGCAUAGCCGACCUGAGAGGGUGAUCGGCCACACUGGAACUGAGACACGGUCCAGACUCCUACGGGGGGCAGCAGUAGGGAAUCUUCCGCAAUGGGCGAAAGCCUGACGGAGCAACGCCGCGUGAGUGAUGAAGGUCUUCGGAUCGUAAAACUCUGUUAUUAGGGAAGAACAUAUGUGUAAGUAACUGUGCACAUCUUGACGGUACCUAAUCAGAAAGCCACGGCUAACUACGUG